This 85-nucleotide transfer RNA is filed under the name Felis catus (domestic cat). It matches the Rfam family "tRNA". Rfam says of the family: Transfer RNA (tRNA) molecules are approximately 80 nucleotides in length. Their secondary structure includes four short double-helical elements and three loops (D, anti-codon, and T loops). The record is from Rfam by way of RNAcentral. RNAcentral also lists the same sequence under 2 other names. Lineage: Eukaryota; Metazoa; Chordata; Mammalia; Carnivora; Felidae.
GCCUGGGUGGCUCAGUCGGUUGAGCAUCUGACUUCGGCUCAGGUCAUGAUCUCACGGUUUGUGAGUUCGAGCCCCGCGUCGGGCU